GAUGAACGCUAGCUACAGGCCUAACACAUGCAAGUCGAGGGGUAGCAUGAUAAAAGCUUGCUUUUAUUGAUGACGACCGGCGCACGGGUGCGUAACACGUAUCGAAUCUGCCUCACACUCGGGCAUAGCCUUCCGAAAGGAAGAUUAAUUCCCGAUAUGCCAAUGAAUCGCAUGGUUCGUUGGUGAAAGUUUUGUCGGUGUGAGAUGACGAUGCGUUCCAUUAGCUUGUUGGUGAGGUAACGGCUCACCAAGGCUUCGAUGGAUAGGGGUUCUGAGAGGAAGGUCCCCCACACUGGUACUGAGACACGGACCAGACUCCUACGGGAGGCAGCAGUGAGGAAUAUUGGUCAAUGGGCACAAGCCUGAACCAGCCAAGUAGCGUGAAGGAUGAAGGCCCUUUGGGUCGUAAACUUCUUUUUUGCGGGGAUAAUUGUAGGGACGUGUCCCUACUUGUAGGUACCGCACGAAUAAGGACCGGCUAACUCCGUGCCAGCCGCCGCAGUA
This 504-nucleotide ribosomal RNA is filed under the name uncultured bacterium. Its description in RNAcentral is "bacterial SSU rRNA". It matches the Rfam family "Bacterial small subunit ribosomal RNA", at positions 28 to 522 of the family's 1533-position model. The record is from RNAcentral.